GAAAAAUUGAGAGAUUGAUGUGACAUACAUUUGAUUUUCAAUUGGAAUGAAACAGUUCAAUGGAGAAUAGUUGAAGAAAGUCUAUCAUUAUGAGUAAAUGAAAUAAGAUAUGAUUGCAAUGUAAUCAGAAUGGAAAAUUAAUUAUGAGUAAAUGAAAUAAGAUAUGAUUGCAAUAGAAUCAGAAUGGAAAAUUGGUUGGGAAAGUUGUAAUUGGAUAAUGAAAGCCUAAAAUAGACAAAUGGCAACCAAUAAACCAGGGGCAGAGUUAUAUUUUUCACCUCCAUUAUUUUUCUUAUAUUAUAAAUAAACCUUCAAGAUUAAAAAAAAAUCGUUAAAAAGAUUAAAUUGUUAAAAUCAAAAAAAUAAUAAAGUUUAUUGUAAACAUUCAUCAAAAUUUUCUCACCUAAAACAUUUUAAAUUAAAAGAUAAUAUAACAUACCAAAUUGAUUAAUCUAUUUCGAGGAACUAAAACGUAAAUCUUUAACUUACCAAAAUAUGAUUAAGCUAACAAUUUACUAUUACUAGAUUAUGUUCUUCAAGACUAGCACCUACUUCAAAUAGUGUCUACAAGCCUCUUUAGCCUUCUAAAGUCUUGCCCUUGUCAUGGAGUUCUAAGACUUCCUUUCUUUGUUAUGCCUCUUCAUGUCCUCGUCAAAACUUGAGACCUUGUAAUAACAGGCAAAACAGCCUAGACUCGCUUCACUUCUAAACCUCAAGACUAGGAGAGCAUCUAGCAAAUCUAUCUAUAUUACAUUUUAUCCAACUACAGAGAGGAGGGAUCAGGUCAACUUGAAUUAUAUAAAGAGCUUUGUUAAUAUAUCCCGGUACCGAAGAGCUUUAAAAUGAAUAAGUAUUUGACAUAGGNNN
RNAcentral lists this long non-coding RNA (867 nucleotides) under Lathyrus oleraceus (garden pea). Its description in RNAcentral is "Pisum sativum (pea) long non-coding RNA (PSAT_LNC025540)". The record is from RNAcentral. Lineage: Eukaryota; Viridiplantae; Streptophyta; Magnoliopsida; Fabales; Fabaceae.